CGGAGGUUUACCCUGGUGUAGGUGUGCCGCAGCGGUCAGUUGAAGACUCCGCGAGUUUCUCUGUGAAUUUCCCACUACAGUCGUAGCGCACUCGGCGCUUGCUUGGAACUUUAUGGGGGUUUUUUCGCUGUAAAAAGAAGUUUUCUUCCCACACACAACGGACACUAAUGUUUUUGUCACUUUUUAUGGAAUCAAACUCAAAAUAAGAUGUGCGGUGGAGAGUGUUCUGUGUUCUGGCAUCAAUGUGUGCCACGGAAACUGCACUGUGGCAGAGAGGAAAGCUCUACAGAGGGUGGUGAAGGCUGCACAGAGAGUGGUCGGAGGCAACCUCCCAACCGUCACAGGACCUAUACACCUCCAGAUGCAGAAAGAGGGCCACCUGUAUCACGAAGGACCCCACUCACCCAGCACACACACUCUUUGUCCCACUCCCCUCAGGCAGGAGGCUGAGGAGCAUUAAAUGCAAAACAACCAGACUGAGAAACAGCUUCAUUCCAGAAGCUGUGACACUCCUCAAUACAUAAAUGGACAGGAACUGCUAUUGUAGCACCUUAAUCACUACUGACACUUACUGACAUUGUCACUUUAUCAAUGCUGGCAUCAUGCCCUUUGCUGCUAAAAGUAUUUAUUUAUGCCCAUAUUUAUACCUACACUCUAUACCCAUACUCCAUACUGGUACUCAGGUUGUUGUACUCUACUUAUUGCAUUAUUUAUCGUAUUUAUUUUAUUACUUGUUAUUCUGUUUGUCAAAACAAAAAAACUAUUGUUUAUUACUUUUUUUUUUUUUUUAAAUUCUGUAUCUUUAUUAUCUGUAUUAUUUUGUUUCUUUUUGCUCCGGGACCGUGUAUACCUAAUUUUCCACCUCAUGUUAACAUGUGAUGCGAAUGACAAUAAAGCUCCUUGAAUCCUAUAAUCAAAUUAGACUAGCACAUAUAGUACUCAAAACACCAUCUACUACUGUGUCUGAAUGUGUGGUAUUGCCAUCGUCAAUUCAGGCCUAAAGAGAUAUGUGUUUAAAAAAAAGACCACCUAAUUUAAAUGUAAUUAUUACAUGCUUGUUAAAAGCUAACUUACAAUAUAUAACAUUUCUAAUAUGCACAAUGACCAGAUAAAAAAUAUGGCAAUGUUUAUAUUUAACAUAGGC
Long non-coding RNA from Oreochromis aureus, 1144 nucleotides. Lineage: Eukaryota; Metazoa; Chordata; Actinopteri; Cichliformes; Cichlidae. The record is from Ensembl.